GGGUGAGUAAUGCUUAGGAAUCUACCGAGUAGUGGGGGAUAGCCAUUGGAAACGAUGAUUAAUACCGCAUAUAUCCUACGGGGGAAAGCAGGGGACCUUCGGGCCUUGCGCUAUUCGAUGAGCCUGAGUGAGAUUAGCUAGUUGGUGGGGUAAAGGCCUACCAAGGCGACGAUCUCUAGCUGGUCUGAGAGGAUGAUCAGCCACACUGGGACUGAGACACGGCCCAGACUCCUACGGGAGGCAGCAGUGGGGAAUAUUGCACAAUGGACGAAAGUCUGAUGCAGCCAUGCCGCGUGUGUGAAGAAGGCCUUCGGGUUGUAAAGCACUUUCAGCGAGGAGGAAAGGUCAGUAAGUAAUAUUUGCUGGCUGUGACGUUACUCGCAGAAGAAGCACCGGCUAAUUUAGUGCCAGCAGCCGCGGUAAUACUAAAGGUGCAAGCGUUAAUCGGAAUUACUGGGCGUAAAGCGCGCGUAGGUGGUUUGUUAAGUUGGAUGUGAAAGCCCAGGGCUCAACCUUGGAACUGCAUUCAAAACUGACUCACUAGAGUACGAGAGAGGUUAGUGGAAUUUCCUGUGUAGCGGUGAAAUGCGUAGAGAUGGGAAGGAAC
This 607-nucleotide ribosomal RNA is filed under the name uncultured bacterium. Its description in RNAcentral is "bacterial SSU rRNA". It matches the Rfam family "Bacterial small subunit ribosomal RNA", at positions 104 to 707 of the family's 1533-position model. The record is from RNAcentral.